Molecule: ribosomal RNA, 255 nt
Filed under: uncultured bacterium
Lineage: Bacteria
Description: partial 16S ribosomal RNA
Rfam family: Bacterial small subunit ribosomal RNA
Source: RNAcentral
UACGGGGGGAGCAAGCGUUGUUCGGAUUUACUGGGCGUAAAGGGCGCGUAGGCGGCCACCGCAAGUCGACUGUGAAAUCUCCGGGCUUAACCCGGAAAGGUCAGCCGAUACUGCGGGGCUAGAGUGCAGAAGGGGCAACUGGAAUUCUCGGUGUAGCGGUGAAAUGCGUAGAUAUCGAGAGGAACACCGGUGGCGAAAGCGGUUCACUGGCCCGAACACUGACACUGAGGUGCGAAAGCUAGGGUAGCAAACGGG